GAUAAACGCUAGCGGCGUGCCUUAUGCAUGCAAGUCGAACGGUUUGUUGAAAGAUAAAUAGUGGCAGACGGCUGAGUAAUACGUAAGUAAUCUGUCCCGAAGUGGGGAAUAAUCCGCCGAAAGGUGGACUAAUACCGCAUGUGAUGGUGAGAUCAGUUUUUCAUCAUUAAAGCUCUCGGGCGCUUUGGGAGGGGCUUGCGUCCUAUCAGGUAGUUGGUGGGGUAACGGCCUACCAAGCCUAUGACGGGUAGCUGGUUUGAGAGGAUGUCCAGCCAGACGGGGACUGAGACACGGCCCCGACUCCUACGGGUGGCUG
This 316-nucleotide ribosomal RNA is filed under the name uncultured Chloroflexota bacterium. RNAcentral describes it as "bacterial SSU rRNA". It matches the Rfam family "Bacterial small subunit ribosomal RNA", at positions 28 to 351 of the family's 1533-position model. Lineage: Bacteria; Bacillati; Chloroflexota. The record is from RNAcentral.